This 253-nucleotide ribosomal RNA is filed under the name uncultured bacterium. RNAcentral describes it as "partial 16S ribosomal RNA". It matches the Rfam family "Bacterial small subunit ribosomal RNA", at positions 524 to 776 of the family's 1533-position model. The record is from RNAcentral.
UACGUAGGGGGCUAGCGUUGUCCGGAAUCAUUGGGCGUAAAGAGCGUGUAGGCGGCCCGGUAAGUCCGCUGUAAAAGUCAAAGGCUCAACCUUUGAAUGUCAGUGGAUACUGCCGGGCUAGAGUCCGGAAGAGGCGAGUGGAACUCCUGGUGUAGCGGUGGAACGCGCAGAUAUCAGGAAGAACACCAACGGCGAAGGCAGCUCGCUGGGACGGUACUGACGCUGAGACGCGAAAGCGUGGGGAGCGAACAGG